CAGUAGCCGCGGUAAUACGUAGGGUGCGAGCGUUAAUCGGAAUUACUGGGCGUAAAGCGUGCGCAGGCGGUUAUGUAAGACAGUUGUGAAAUCCCCGGGCUCAACCUGGGAACUGCAUCUGUGACUGCAUAGCUAGAGUACGGUAGAGGGGGAUGGAAUUCCGCGUGUAGCAGUGAAAUGCGUAGAUAUGCGGAGGAACACCGAUGGCGAAGGCAAUCCCCUGGACCUGUACUGACGCUCAUGCACGAAAGCGUGGGGAGCAAACAGGAUUAGAUACCCGAGUAGUCCCUGUCUCUUAUAA
RNAcentral lists this ribosomal RNA (301 nucleotides) under uncultured bacterium. Its description in RNAcentral is "partial 16S ribosomal RNA". It matches the Rfam family "Bacterial small subunit ribosomal RNA", at positions 509 to 809 of the family's 1533-position model. The record is from RNAcentral.